Molecule: ribosomal RNA, 387 nt
Filed under: uncultured bacterium
Lineage: Bacteria
Description: bacterial SSU rRNA
Rfam family: Bacterial small subunit ribosomal RNA
Source: RNAcentral
GACGAACGCUGGCGGCGUGCUUAACACAUGCAAGUCGAGCGGUAAGGCCCUUUCGGGGGUACACGAGCGGCGAACGGGUGAGUAACACGUGGGUGACCUGCCCUUAGCUCUGGGAUAAGCCUGGGAAACUGGGUCUAAUACCGGAUAUCACUCCAUGACGCAUGUUGUGGGGUGGAAAGCCUUGUGCGGCUAGGGAUGGGCCUGCGGCCUAUCAGCUUGUUGGUGGGGUGAUGGCCUACCAAGGCGACGACGGGUAGCCGGCCUGAGAGGGCGACCGGCCACACUGGGACUGAGACACGGCCCAGACUCCUACGGGAGGCAGCAGUGGGGAAUCUUGCGCAAUGGGCGAAAGCCUGACGCAGCGACGCCGCGUGGGGAUGACGGCCU